Small nucleolar RNA from Octodon degus (degu), 99 nucleotides. RefSeq annotates it as small nucleolar RNA U13. NCBI's taxonomy places the organism in Eukaryota, Metazoa, Chordata, Mammalia, Rodentia, Octodontidae. The transcript has a single exon. The record is from RefSeq and is a predicted model, not a curated record.
AUCCUUCAGUUCAUGACUGAUGACUGGGUGUUCAUGCCAUACGCAUGAGAUGCACCUCCGUCAGACCAUGCUGUGCUGCGACACAUUACCCAUCUGAUG